GAGUUUGAUCCUGGCUCAGGAUGAACGCUGGCGGCGUGCCUAACACAUGCAAGUCGAACGGAGUUACUUUGGUGAAGUUUUCGGAUGGAUCUGAUUUAACUUAGUGGCGGACGGGUGAGUAAUGCGUGAGCAACCUGCCCUUCAGAGGGGGACAACAGUUGGAAACGACUGCUAAUACCGCAUAAUGUAUUCGGAAGGCAUCUUCUGAAUACCAAAGGAGAAAUCCGCUGAGGGAUGGGCUCACGUCUGAUUAGUUAGUUGGUGAGGUAACGGCUCACCAAGACUGCGAUCAGUAGCCGGACUGAGAGGUUGAACGGCCACAUUGGGACUGAGAUACGGCCCAGACUCCUACGGGAGGCAGCAGUGGGGAAUAUUGGGCAAUGGGCGAAAGCCUGACCCAGCAACGCCGCGUGAAGGAAGAAGGCCUUCGGGUUGUAAACUUCUUUUAAGAGGGACGAAGAAGUGACGGUACCUCUUGAAUAAGCCACGGCUAACUACGUGCCAGCCGCCGCGGUAAUUC
This 520-nucleotide ribosomal RNA is filed under the name uncultured bacterium. RNAcentral's name for it is "bacterial SSU rRNA". It matches the Rfam family "Bacterial small subunit ribosomal RNA", at positions 9 to 526 of the family's 1533-position model. The record is from RNAcentral.